AGUGAACGCUGGCGGUAGGCCUAACACAUGCAAGUCGAACGGCAGCACAGUAAGAGCUUGCUCUUACGGGUGGCGAGUGGCGGACGGGUGAGGAAUACAUCGGAAUCUACUUUUUCGUGGGGGAUAACGUAGGGAAACUUACGCUAAUACCGCAUACGACCUACGGGUGAAAGCAGGGGAUCUUCGGACCUUGCGCGACUGAAUGAGCCGAUGUCGGAUUAGCUAGUUGGCGGGGUAAAGGCCCACCAAGGCGACGAUCCGUAGCUGGUCUGAGAGGAUGAUCAGCCACACUGGAACUGAGACACGGUCCAGACUCCUGCGGGAGGCAGCAGUGGGGAAUAUUGGGCAAUGGGCGCAAGCCUGAUCCAGCCAUACCGCGUGGGUGAAGAAGGCCUUCGGGUUGUAAAGCCCUUUUGUUGGGAAAGAAAAGCAGCAGGUUAAUACCCCGCUGUUCUGACGGUACCCAAAGAAUAAGCACCGGCUAACUUCGUG
RNAcentral lists this ribosomal RNA (492 nucleotides) under uncultured bacterium. Its description in RNAcentral is "partial 16S ribosomal RNA". It matches the Rfam family "Bacterial small subunit ribosomal RNA", at positions 29 to 507 of the family's 1533-position model. The record is from RNAcentral.